This is a long non-coding RNA of Oreochromis niloticus (Nile tilapia), 1761 nucleotides long. The record is from Ensembl. NCBI's taxonomy places the organism in Eukaryota, Metazoa, Chordata, Actinopteri, Cichliformes, Cichlidae.
AUGGUACCCACAUGUGUGCUGCUGAGAAGGAUGUACAGGGGCGCCUGCAGCCAAAUCCAAGGCUCCUCAGAUGGUGACGGUGUGGAGAGACGGUGGUGUUUCCUCAGAAGAACUAGCAGAGUCACAAAGGGCACGAGUCCUUCUCACCACCUUGACUUGUUGAUCAGUGGAUACACUUGUCUCCCCUUUAAAGGAGACACUCUUAGAGAGAGACGAUCCGAGUCAUCCUUAAAUAUGGGCAGGAUAUCACUAUUGGACUGUCUAACCUGCAGGAGCAGCACUGAAUAACCACUACACAUGAGCAUGUUCCUGCAACAUUCAGCAGCUCUGCUUUUGGUAAGUAGAGUUACCUAACUACAGUAACUCCAAACACAUGCCAUCCAUUUCUAACGGCCUGGUUACUUCCUGUCAGUUAUUUUAGAAACCAUGUGGUCACCUGACCUAACACUGUUUCUUCUUCUUCCCCUUAAUGUUGAAGUGUCAAAUGUCUAACAGCUGGAGAGGAAACUACACCAGUGUACUGGGAUGUUUCAGCAACACGUGCCAGACGCUGUUCCUUCAUGGUGACAUCACCAGAGACAGCCCCGCCCACCUCAGGACCUCGCCAUUGAUCAUGAUGAUUAUAAUGAUGACAGCGAGCAGAACUAAGACUGUAAAAAUCAGAAUAUUUAGAUGCUUUCUAAUUAUUAAUGAAUACUGAGAGCCUCUUUCUGUGUUUUGUCUGUUUUUUUUUUUUUUUACCUCAUUUGUUACUAACAAAGUUCACCAAACUCACACAGUUUACAUUCUGUAUGUUUCCAUCUUUACCAGCCACACUCUACCUGCAAUUAAGCAAAUAAUCCUUAGAAAUCCUCGUUUUUCUCUUUUGUAAUUGAUGAUAAUUCAGUGAAUAUACUGCGCUGCUUCCUUUUAUUGCGUCACACAUUGCUUUAAGUUUUUCCAGUGUCCAGUUAUUUUUUACUGCUGUUUGAAUUCUCUGCAUGUUUGACCCUGUAGACUGUUUGAUGGACUGCUUGUCUUCCUGUUUGUAACCGCCGCCUGUUUUUGACUAAAGAUUUGGAUUUCUGACUUUAACACAGCCUCUGCGUGUCCUCCCUUUGUGUCCUCUUCCUCUGUGAAUGUGUUGCAUGUGUCACAGAUUCAUUUUAUUAACAGCUUUCCCACAGUCAGUUGCAUCAGCAUUCAUUCACAGCACAUUGCAGAAGGAUUCAGAUUAAUACAGUGAUCUUAUAGUCAGAAUUAUCCUGACAGACUGUAAAUUAUCUUUCAUCAGGUCAAUUUUAAAGUUCAGUAUUUCAAAGCAGGAGUUAUGAAGAAUCAUACUGGCAUUAGGACUGUAACAAUAUGUACUUACAAAGUCAAAGUUUUUUAAUUAUGCUAGAAUAUUGGAAGACAAUCAACUUUUAGUGUUUUCUGCAUAUUAAUUAUUCUGAAAUAGAGAUGGUGACCCUAACUGUACAGAAGCACUAAACAACUGACAAUCUAACAAACAUUAUUGGCCUGAGCCGUCAUGCACAGUGAGUCUGAUCCUGUGCUGUGAGAGUCUGACAAGCAUGUUUCUGGUCAGUUUGGAAGAAAUAAUAUCACAAUGUUGAUCUUUUUUUAAUAUUCCUUCUCUUUUACAACAUAAACUGUGAUCAAAGCUACUUAUGUUCACAGCAUGUAAUAAUACUGACAGUCCAGGGCAUUGUGGUCUGUUGAGCUAGGGUUAGGGUUAGCAAUUCAGACAUAUGUAAUCAAUCUCUUACUGGAUAUAACAAA